RNAcentral lists this ribosomal RNA (477 nucleotides) under uncultured Acidithiobacillales bacterium. RNAcentral's name for it is "bacterial SSU rRNA". It matches the Rfam family "Bacterial small subunit ribosomal RNA", at positions 902 to 1382 of the family's 1533-position model. The record is from RNAcentral. Lineage: Bacteria; Pseudomonadati; Pseudomonadota; Acidithiobacillia; Acidithiobacillales.
CAAAGGAAUUGACGGGACCCGCACAAGCGGUGGAUGAUGUGGAUUAAUUCGAUGCAACGCGAAAACCUUACCUACCCUUGACAUGUCUGGAACCUUGGUGAGAGCCGAGGGUGCCUUCGGGAGCCAGAACACAGGUGCUGCAUGGCUGUCGUCAGCUCGUGUCGUGAGAUGUUGGGUUAAGUCCCGCAACGAGCGCAACCCUUGUCACUAGUUGCCAUCAUUUAGUUGGGCACUCUAGUGAGACUGCCGGUAAUAAACCGGAGGAAGGUGGGGAUGACGUCAAAUCAUCAUGCCCCUUACGGCCAGGGCUACACACGUGCUACAAUGGUCGGUACAAAGGGUUGCCAAGCCGCGAGGUGGAGCUAAUCCCAUAAAACCGAUCGUAGUCCGGAUCGCAGUCUGCAACUCGACUGCGUGAAGUCGGAAUCGCUAGUAAUCGUGAAUCAGAAUGUCACGGUGAAUACGUUCCCGGGCCUU